GACGGAGGAUGCAAGUGUUAUCCGGAAUCACUGGGCGUAAAGCGUCUGUAGGUGGUUUAAUAAGUCAACUGUUAAAUCUUGAGGCUCAACCUCAAAAUCGCAGUCGAAACUAUUAGGCUAGAGUAUAGUAGGGGUAAAGGGGAAUUUCCAGUGGAGCGGUGAAAUGCGUAGAGAUUGGAAAGAACACCGAUGGCGAAGGCACUUUACUGGGCUAUUACUAACACUCAGAGACGAAAGCUAGGGUAGCAAAUGGG
Molecule: ribosomal RNA, 254 nt
Filed under: uncultured bacterium
Lineage: Bacteria
Description: partial 16S ribosomal RNA
Rfam family: Bacterial small subunit ribosomal RNA
Source: RNAcentral